AACCGCAUGGUUCAAAAGUGAAAGACGGUCUUGCUGUCACUUAUAGAUGGAUCCGCGCUGCAUUAGCUAGUUGGUAAGGUAACGGCUUACCAAGGCAACGAUGCAUAGCCGACCUGAGAGGGUGAUCGGCCACACUGGAACUGAGACACGGUCCAGACUCCUACGGGAGGCAGCAGUAGGGAAUCUUCCGCAAUGGGCGAAAGCCUGACGGAGCAACGCCGCGUGAGUGAUGAAGGUCUUCGGAUCGUAAAACUCUGUUAUUAGGGAAGAACAUAUGUGUAAGUAACUGUGCACAUCUUGACGGUACCUAAUCAGAAAGCCACGGCUAACUACGUGCCAGCAGCCGCGGUAAUACGUAGGUGGCAAGCGUUAUCCGGAAUUAUUGGGCGUAAAGCGCGCGUAGGCGGUUUUUUAAGUCUGAUGUGAAAGCCCACGGCUCAACCGUGGAGGGUCAUUGGAAACUGGAAAACUUGAGUGCAGAAGAGGAAAGUGGAAUUCCAUGUGUAGCGGUGAAAUGCGCAGAGAUAUGGAGGAACACCAGUGGCGAAGGCGACUUUCUGGUCUGUAACUGACGCUGAUGUGCGAAAGCGUGGGGAUCAAACAGGAUUAGAUACCCUGGUAGUCCACGCCGUAAACGAUGAGUGCUAAGUGUUAGGGGGUUUCCGCCCCUUAGUGCUGCAGCUAACGCAUUAAGCACUCCGCCUGGGGAGUACGACCGCAAGGUUGAAACUCAAAGGAAUUGACGGGGACCCGCACAAGCGGUGGAGCAUGUGGUUUAAUUCGAAGCAACGCGAAGAACCUUACCAAAUCUUGACAUCCUUUGACAACUCUAGAGAUAGAGCCUUCCCCUUCGGGGGACAAAGUGACAGGUGGUGCAUGGUUGUCGUCAGCUCGUGUCGUGAGAUGUUGGGUUAAGUCCCGCAACGAGCGCAACCCUUAAGCUUAGUUGCCAUCAUUAAGUUGGGCACUCUAAGUUGACUGCCGGUGACAAACCGGAGGAAGGUGGGGAUGACGUCAAAUCAUCAUGCCCCUUAUGAUUUGGGCUACACACGUGCUACAAUGGACAAUACAAAGGGCAGCGAAACCGCGAGGUCAAGCAAAUCCCAUAAAGUUGUUCUCAGUUCGGAUUGUAGUCUGCAACUCGACUACAUGAAGCUGGAAUCGCUAGUAAUCGUAGAUCAGCAUGCUACGGUGAAUACGUUCCCGGGUCUUGUACACACCGCCCGUCACACCACGAGAGUUUGUAACACCCGAAGCCGGUGGAGUAACCUUUUAGGAGCUAGCCGUCGAAGGUGGGACAAAUGAUUGGGGUGAAGUCGUAACAAGGUAGCCGUAUCGGAAGGUGCGGCUGGGUCACCUCCUUUCUAAGGA
Molecule: ribosomal RNA, 1371 nt
Filed under: Staphylococcus aureus
Lineage: Bacteria; Bacillati; Bacillota; Bacilli; Caryophanales; Staphylococcaceae
Description: bacterial SSU rRNA
Rfam family: Bacterial small subunit ribosomal RNA
Source: RNAcentral